ACUACGGGAGGCUGCAGUGAGGAAUAUUGGUCAAUGGGCGGAAGCCUGAACCAGCCAAGUAGCGUGCAGGAUGACGGCCCUACGGGUUGUAAACUGCUUUUAUACGGGAAUAACGCGCCUUACGUGUAGGGCUUUGCAUGUACCGUAUGAAUAAGGACCGGCUAAUUCCGUGCCAGCAGCCGCGGUAAUACGGAAGGUCCGGGCGUUAUCCGGAUUUAUUGGGGUUAAAGGGAGCGUAGGCCGCAUGUCAAGCGUGCUGUGAAAUGGCCGGGCUCAACCCGGGCCUUGCAGCGCGAACUGGCGUGCUUGAGUCCGCGGAAAGCAGGCGGAAUUCGUCGUGUAGCGGUGAAAUGCUUAGAUAUGACGAAGAACCCCGAUUGCGAAGGCAGCUUGCUGCAGCGGAACUGACGCUGAUGCUCGAAAGCGCGGGUAUCGAACAGGAUUAGAUACCCCGGUAGUC
This 460-nucleotide ribosomal RNA is filed under the name uncultured bacterium. RNAcentral's name for it is "partial 16S ribosomal RNA". It matches the Rfam family "Bacterial small subunit ribosomal RNA", at positions 338 to 795 of the family's 1533-position model. The record is from RNAcentral.